AAAUUGAAGAGUUUGAUCAUGGCUCAGAUUGAACGCUGGCGGCAGGCCUAACACAUGCAAGUCGAACGGUAACAGGAAGCAGCUUGCUGCUUCGCUGACGAGUGGCGGACGGGUGAGUAAUGUCUGGGAAACUGCCUGAUGGAGGGGGAUAACUACUGGAAACGGUGGCUAAUACCGCAUAACGUCGCAGGACCAAAGAGGGGGACCUUCGGGCCUCUUGCCAUCAGAUGUGCCCAGAUGGGAUUAGCUUGUUGGUGAGGUAACGGCUCACCAAGGCGACGAUCCCUAGCUGGUCUGAGAGGAUGACCAGCCACACUGGAACUGAGACACGGUCCAGACUCCUACGGGAGGCAGCAGUGGGGAAUAUUGCACAAUGGGCGCAAGCCUGAUGCAGCCAUGCCGCGUGUAUGAAGAAGGCCUUCGGGUUGUAAAGUACUUUCAGCGGGGAGGAAGGUGUUGUGGUUAAUAACCGCAGCAAUUGACGUUACCCGCAGAAGAAGCACCGGCUAACUCCGUGCCAGCAGCCGCGGUAAUACGGAGGGUGCAAGCGUUAAUCGGAAUUACUGGGCGUAAAGCGCACGCAGGCGGUCUGUCAAGUCGGAUGUGAAAUCCCCGGGCUCAACCUGGGAACUGCAUUCGAAACUGGCAGGCUGGAGUCUUGUAGAGGGG
RNAcentral lists this ribosomal RNA (669 nucleotides) under Salmonella enterica. Its description in RNAcentral is "bacterial SSU rRNA". It matches the Rfam family "Bacterial small subunit ribosomal RNA", at positions 1 to 659 of the family's 1533-position model. Lineage: Bacteria; Pseudomonadati; Pseudomonadota; Gammaproteobacteria; Enterobacterales; Enterobacteriaceae. The record is from RNAcentral.